GAUGAACGCUGGCGGCGUGCCUAAUACAUGCAAGUCGAGCGAACGGACGAGAAGCUUGCUUCUCUGAUAUUAGCGGCGGACGGGUGAGUAACACGUGGAUAACCUACCUAUAAGACUGGGAUAACUUCGGGAAACCGGAGCUAAUACCGGAUAAUAUUUUGAACCGCAUGGUUCAAAAGUGAAAGACGGUCUUGCUGUCACUUAUAGAUGGAUCCGCGCUGCAUUAGCUAGUUGGUAAGGUAACGGCUUACCAAGGCAACGAUGCAUAGCCGACCUGAGAGGGUGAUCGGCCCCCCUGGAACUGAGCCACGGUCCAGACUCCUACGGGAGGCAGCAGUAGGGAAUCUUCCGCAAUGGGCGAAAGCCUGACGGAGCAACGCCGCGUGAGUGAUGAAGGUCUUCGGAUCGUAAAACUCUGUUAUUAGGGAAGAACAUAUGUGUAAGUAACUGUGCACAUCUUGACGGUACCUAAUCAGAAAGCCACGGCUAACUACGUG
This 497-nucleotide ribosomal RNA is filed under the name uncultured bacterium. RNAcentral describes it as "partial 16S ribosomal RNA". It matches the Rfam family "Bacterial small subunit ribosomal RNA", at positions 28 to 507 of the family's 1533-position model. The record is from RNAcentral.